Molecule: ribosomal RNA, 751 nt
Filed under: uncultured bacterium
Lineage: Bacteria
Description: bacterial SSU rRNA
Rfam family: Bacterial small subunit ribosomal RNA
Source: RNAcentral
ACACAUGCAAGUUCGAACGAUGAAUCUUCCAGCUUGCUGGGGGGAUUCGUGGCGAACGGGUGAGUAACACGUGAGUAACCUGCCCUUCGACUCUGGGAUAAGCCUGGGAAACUGGGUCUAAUACUGGAUACGACCUUCCCACGCAUGUGGUGUUGGUGGAAAGCUUUUGUGGUUUUGGAUGGACUCGCGGCCUAUCAGCUUGUUGGUGGGGUAACGGCCCACCAAGGCGACGAUCCGUAGCGGGUCUGAGAGGAUGAUCCGCCACACUGGCACUGAGACACGGGCCAGACUCCUACGGGAGGCAGCAGUGGGGAAUAUUGCACAAUGGGCGCAAGCCUGAUGCAGCCAUGCCGCGUGUGUGGAGAAGGCUCUAGGGUUGUAAAGCACUUUCAGUGGGGAGGAAAAGUUAGUCGUUAAUACCGGCUAGCCCUGACGUUACCCACAGAAGAAGCACCGGCUAACUCCGUGCCAGCAGCCGCGGUAAUACGGAGGGUGCAAGCGUUAAUCGGAAUUACUGGGCGUAAAGCGCGCGUAGGCGGCUUACUAAGCCAGAUGUGAAAGCCCCGGGCUCAACCUGGGAACUGCAUUUGGAACUGGUUCGCUAGAGUACAGUAGAGGGUGGUGGAAUUUCCAGUGUAGCGGUGAAAUGCGCAGAUAUCAGGAGGAACACCGGUGGCGAAGGCGGGUCUCUGGGCAACAACUGACGCUGAGGAGCGAAAGCGUGGGGAGCGAACAGGAUUAGAUACCCUGG